RNAcentral lists this ribosomal RNA (500 nucleotides) under uncultured bacterium. Its description in RNAcentral is "bacterial SSU rRNA". It matches the Rfam family "Bacterial small subunit ribosomal RNA", at positions 24 to 518 of the family's 1533-position model. The record is from RNAcentral.
UCAGGAUGAACGCUAGCGACAGGCUUAACACAUGCAAGUCGAGGGGCAGCAUAAAAGUAGCAAUACUUGGUGGCGACCGGCGCACGGGUGAGUAACGCGUAUGCAACCUACCUAUCAGAGGGGAAUAACCCGGCGAAAGUCGGACUAAUACCGCAUAAAACAGGGGCACCGCAUGGUGAUAUUUGUUAAAGAAAUUCGCUGAUAGAUGAGCAUGCGUUCCAUUAGGUAGUUGGUGAGGUAACGGCUCACCAAGCCGACGAUGGAUAGGGAACUGAGAGGUUGGUCCCCCACACUGGUACUGAGACACGGACCAGACUCCUACGGGAGGCAGCAGUGAGGAAUAUUGGUCAAUGGGCGGGAGCCUGAACCAGCCAAGUCGCGUGAAGGAAGAAGGAUCUAUGGUUCGUAAACUUCUUUUGCAGGGGAAUAAAGUGCAGGACGUGUCCUGUUUUGUAUGUACCCUGAGAAUAAGGAUCGGCUAACUCCGUGCCAGCAGCCGC